UCACCAAAUCCAAUUGGAUUCCCUUGAUCUUAGCACCCCGACCCUAGACAUAAAAGUGUUACUGUUUUCUUGAGUUUAAAUUUACACUCAGGCUUCUUCUCAUUAAAAAUUGAGCACACAAAUGACCUUAGAACUUUUAUACUGUAAGAUACUGUACAGUUUAAAGACUCCAGGGUUUCUAAUUUCUGUAAACAAUUACUCUGUCACAAAGAAGAAGUAGAUAUUUGAAGUAAAAGCAAUGAGUUGGAGAUUAACAACCCUCUGAAAGACACAUGAUCCCCCCUGUGUUGAGUUGAGUCG
This 300-nucleotide long non-coding RNA is filed under the name Bos taurus (domestic cattle). RNAcentral describes it as "long non-coding RNA NONBTAT013655". Lineage: Eukaryota; Metazoa; Chordata; Mammalia; Artiodactyla; Bovidae. The record is from RNAcentral.